This 491-nucleotide ribosomal RNA is filed under the name uncultured bacterium. RNAcentral's name for it is "partial 16S ribosomal RNA". It matches the Rfam family "Bacterial small subunit ribosomal RNA", at positions 29 to 507 of the family's 1533-position model. The record is from RNAcentral.
GUGAACGCUGGCGGUAGGCCUAACACAUGCCAGUCGAACGGCAGCACAGUAAGAGCUUGCUCUUACGGGUGGCGAGUGGCGGACGGGUGAGGAAUACAUCGGAAUCUACUUUUUCGUGGGGGAUAACGUAGGGAAACUUACGCUAAUACCGCAUACGACCUACGGGUGAAAGCAGGGGAUCUUCGGACCUUGCGCGAUUGAAUGAGCCGAUGUCGGAUUAGCUAGUUGGCGGGGUAAAGGCCCACCAAGGCGACGAUCCGUAGCUGGUCUGAGAGGAUGAUCAGCCACACUGGAACUGAGACACGGUCCAGACUCCUACGGGAGGCAGCAGUGGGGAAUAUUGGACAAUGGGCGCAAGCCUGAUCCAGCCAUACCGCGUGGGUGAAGAAGGCCUUCGGGUUGUAAAGCCCUUUUGUUGGGAAAGAAAAGCAGCAGGUUAAUACCCCGCUGUUCUGACGGUACCCAAAGAAUAAGCACCGGCUAACCUCGUG